Molecule: unclassified non-coding RNA, 257 nt
Filed under: Geastrum sp.
Lineage: Eukaryota; Fungi; Basidiomycota; Agaricomycetes; Geastrales; Geastraceae
Description: partial contains 5.8S ribosomal RNA, internal transcribed spacer 2, and large subunit ribosomal RNA
Source: RNAcentral
CGCAUCUUGCGCUCCUUGGUAUUCCGAGGAGCAUGCCUGUUUGAGUGUCGUGAAGUACUCUCAAUUUCAAUUUGAAAUUGGAUCUGGGUGUUGUUGUUGUAACUCAUCCUAAAUGCAUUUGCGAUCUGGUUAUGAUCACACACAAUGUGAUAAGUCAAAAGCAUUGUUAAGAUCUAGUCAGGAUGGCCUCUAAUCGUCGAAAGACAACCUUUAUGUCAUUUGACCUCAGAUCAGGCAGGACUACCCGCUGAACUUAA